UAGGGAAUCUUCCACAAUGACGCAAGUCUGAUGGAGCAACGCCGCGUGAGUGAAGAAGGUUUUCGGAUCGUAAAGCUCUGUUGUUGGUGAAGAAGGAUAGAGGCAGUAACUGGUCUUUAUUUGACGGUAAUCAACCAGAAAGUCACGGCUAACUACGUGCCAGCAGCCGCGGUAAUACGUAGGUGGCAAGCGUUGUCCGGAUUUAUUGGGCGUAAAGCGAGCGCAGGCGGAAUGAUAAGUCUGAUGUGAAAGCCCACGGCUCAACCGUGGAACUGCAUCGGAAACUGUCAUUCUUGAGUGCAGAAGAGGAGAGUGGAAUUCCAUGUGUAGCGGUGGAAUGCGUAGAUAUAUGGAAGAACACCAGUGGCGAAGGCGGCUCUCUGGUCUGCAACUGACGCUGAGGCUCGAAAGCAUGGGUAGCGAACAGG
This 428-nucleotide ribosomal RNA is filed under the name bacterium. RNAcentral describes it as "partial 16S ribosomal RNA". It matches the Rfam family "Bacterial small subunit ribosomal RNA", at positions 355 to 776 of the family's 1533-position model. The record is from RNAcentral.